This is a long non-coding RNA of Apis laboriosa (Himalayan honeybee), 564 nucleotides long. RefSeq lists it as uncharacterized. Lineage: Eukaryota; Metazoa; Arthropoda; Insecta; Hymenoptera; Apidae. The record is from RefSeq and is a predicted model, not a curated record. The transcript has 3 exons.
UUGAGUAGUACGGUUGCCUUGUGUGUUAGUAAUUCUACGAUAAUUUUUUAUCAGAUAGUAAUCGCUAGUCUAGCGAAGGUUUCAUUGUGAGAAAGUAAAAUUACAACCGUCAAAAUUUUACGAAGAAAGAAAUAUGAGUAUUAAUUCCGGCCUAUCAUUAAGUAAUUGUGAAAGUACUAAAAAAGGCAUAAUAAUGCCAAGUUUAAUAUCCAGCAAUUGUGACAUGUCAAGUAAAUGUAUGGAUGAAAGUUUAGAAGAAGGAUCUAGAUUUCAACAACAUUAUUGUAUAACGUUGGGUGUGGGGCCUCUGUGGUGGUCCUGAUGUGCCCCAUGCCGCAUUGUCUGUAUCUACAGUCAACACAGAGAGCCACGGCGUGGGGAUCAAGCAGAGUCAGCUCUCUGUGAGCUCCCAUAUUGUACAAGAGGAUGAAUUAUUGAAAGCUGUACGAAAUAGCGAAUCAUUGCGCUUAACUUUUACUUUGCAUUUGACGGAAAGCACAUCUGUCGAAUGGGAAACAGUAGUAUGGCGUCGUUGUCUUUAUAUUCGCGUGCCAAGCUGCCUUU